This is a long non-coding RNA of Gopherus flavomarginatus (Mexican gopher tortoise), 423 nucleotides long. RefSeq lists it as uncharacterized. The transcript has 3 exons. The record is from RefSeq and is a predicted model, not a curated record. NCBI's taxonomy places the organism in Eukaryota, Metazoa, Chordata, Testudines, Testudinidae.
CGGGUGGGGGCAGGGCACCCAGCUGCCAGCCUGGCUUUGGCCAGGGAGUGGGGCCUGGUGGUUAGAGCGGGGAGCUGGGGGCCAGGACUCCUGCCCCCCCCAACUGUGCCCUCGUGUGGCUUAAGGCAAAUCAUGUCACCUGCUGGAGCUUCCUGUAUCCCCCCCCCCCUCAAGCUCCCCCUAAAGCACUGUGUGAGUGCCCUCGCUCCUCUGCUAGCUCCCUUCACGUCACAGGUGAUGGACGAACCCCCCCCCCAGCUCCCCUUAAAGCACCGUGUGAGUGCCCUCGCUCCUCUGCUAGCUCCCUUCACGUCACAGGUGAUGGACGAACCCCCCCCCAGCUCCCCUUAAAGCACUGUGUGAGUGCCCUCGCUCCUCUGCUAGCUCCCUUCACGUCACAGGUGAUGGACGAAACCCCCCCAU